Molecule: ribosomal RNA, 433 nt
Filed under: uncultured bacterium
Lineage: Bacteria
Description: partial 16S ribosomal RNA
Rfam family: Bacterial small subunit ribosomal RNA
Source: RNAcentral
AACGAACGCUGGCGGCAUGCCUAACACAUGCAAGUCGAACGAGACCUUCGGGUCUAGUGGCGCACGGGUGCGUAACGCGUGGGAACCUGCCUUUAGGUUCGGAAUAACUCAGAGAAAUUUGAGCUAAUACCGGAUGAUGUCUUCGGACCAAAGAUUUAUCGCCUUUAGAUGGGCCCGCGUUGGAUUAGCUAGUUGGUGGGGUAAAGGCCUACCAAGGCGACGAUCCAUAGCUGGUCUGAGAGGAUGAUCAGCCACACUGGGACUGAGACACGGCCCAGACUCCUACGGGGGGCAGCAGUGGGGAAUAUUGGACAAUGGGCGAAAGCCUGAUCCAGCAAUGCCGCGUGAGUGAUGAAGGCCUUAGGGUUGUAAAGCUCUUUUACCCGAGAUGAUAAUGACAGUAUCGGGAGAAUAAGCUCCGGCUAACUCCGUG